UACAGGGGGUGCGAGCGUUAUUCGGAGUUACUGGGCGUAAAGCGCACGUAGGUGGCUUAGCAAGUCUGGUGUGAAAGCCCCGGACUCAAUUCGGGAAGUGCAUUGGAUACUGCUAGGCUAGAGUGUAGGAGGGGAGAGCGGAAUUCCUGGUGUAGAGGUGAAAUUCGUAGAUAUCAGGAGGAACAACGGAGGCGAAGGCGGCUCUCUAGACUACAACUGACACUCAGGUGCGAAAGCGUGGGGAGCAAAC
This 250-nucleotide ribosomal RNA is filed under the name uncultured bacterium. RNAcentral describes it as "partial 16S ribosomal RNA". It matches the Rfam family "Bacterial small subunit ribosomal RNA", at positions 524 to 773 of the family's 1533-position model. The record is from RNAcentral.